UGCUAUCACACAGCUUCCUUGCUAGCAUCGGAUGCUGCAAUGUAUUCUACCUCACAAAUUGAAUCGGCUACAGUAUUGUGCUCGAAACUUUUUCAGCAGUUUGCUCCAUCAUUUAAGAUAAAAUAUAUCCUGACACGCUCUUACUGUCAUUAUGAUCCAACUAAAAACUAAAGUCAGUAAACUCUAUAAAUUUUAAGUCAGAUUCUCUAUAAACGAGCCACUGAUCCUUAGUAUUUCUCAAAUACAUAAGGAUAACCUCC
This 260-nucleotide long non-coding RNA is filed under the name Elaeis guineensis (African oil palm). RNAcentral's name for it is "long non-coding RNA (EGUI_LNC066653)". Lineage: Eukaryota; Viridiplantae; Streptophyta; Magnoliopsida; Arecales; Arecaceae. The record is from RNAcentral.